This 498-nucleotide ribosomal RNA is filed under the name uncultured bacterium. Its description in RNAcentral is "partial 16S ribosomal RNA". It matches the Rfam family "Bacterial small subunit ribosomal RNA", at positions 899 to 1397 of the family's 1533-position model. The record is from RNAcentral.
ACUCAAAGGAAUUGACGGGGGCCCGCACAAGCGGUGGAGCAUGUGGUUUAAUUCGAUGCAACGCGAAGAACCUUACCUACUUUUGAAUCCACGGGAUCUCUCAGAAAUGAGAGAGUGCCUUCGGGAACCGUGAGACAGGUGCUGCAUGGCUGUCGUCAGCUCGUGUCGUGAGAUGUUGGGUUAAGUCCCGUAACGAGCGCAACCCUUGUCCUUAGUUACCAGCGAGUCAUGUCGGGGACUUUAAGGAGACUGCCGGUGAUAAACCGGAGGAAGGUGGGGAUGACGUCAAGUCCUCAUGGCCCUUACAAGUAGGGCUACACACGUGCUACAAUGGCCGGUACAGAGGGUCGCCAACCCGCGAGGGGGAGCUAAUCUCAGAAAGCCGGUCGUAGUCCGGAUUGGAGUCUGCAACUCGACUCCAUGAAGUUGGAAUCGCUAGUAAUCGCGGAUCAGAACGCCGCGGUGAAUACGUUCCCGGGCCUUGCACACACCGCCCGU